AAAAUAAUUAGUUAAAGUUAAAAAUUGAAUUAUUAAAAAUUAACGAAGUUAAAAGUUAUUAAUUUUAUUAUUUAACUUUGAUAAUUAUUUAGUACAGACUUUAAUAAAGUCUAUGUAAUAAACGCGCAGCUAGAGAGACUGCAUUAGCCGAGGACGCACGUGCACACCGUCGGUUAAAGUCCAACCGCGCAAGGUCAACGUCCCGUAAGAUAGACGCCACGCUACGCGCCGUCUUGGCCUCCCCACUCCGCCGGCCACUCAUUGUCAGUCAUUCGCGCGCACGUGUACGCUGUCGCGUCGGUUAAAGUCGCGUCACGCAAGGUCAACGUCCCGCGCCGCGUGCUGUCUCGGCCUUCCCAUUCCGCCGGUCAUUCGCCUUACGCGAGGCCUUCGAGGCGCACAUGCACGCCAUUUGGCUCGUCUUCCUACACAGUUCCCACUCUUCUCGUAAAGAUGGGCCGCGACGACUCGGCCGUUCGGUAUUCGUUGCUACCGCUACACAUUGCUGAUGUACGGCGUAUCGGUUCCGUGCUUCUCGUACGUUCCAAGUUUUGAUUAUGCGCGAAUAAUGCCAAUGUGAUAACGGACGGUUACUCCCAUACAGUGUCGUACGUACAAAUGAUCGUAUUCGUUUGUGAAGCGCAAGCAUCGUGUGAUUGUCGUGUGUGGUUUUGUCAAGAUUUCGCGCGCUCGUAUUCGUUCACUCAGAUACUUCAUUCGUGCAGUGGAAUAUCGCGAAUGCCGCGUGUUUCACGUUUUGUCUCUAGUCGUCGUGUUUAGAUACAAAAUCGAGAGUGAGUGUGUUUCGUUUCUACGCAUCGUAUCUACGUGUGCAUUCGGACGAUUCUCAUUGCUGUUUUGUUGAUAUGUGACGUUCAAGCACAUGUAUGCUCUCUCGAAAGUUGAAAGUUAUAUUCGUCACUUGCGAAUGUAGCAACGGACGAUUACACCUCUGGCACACGAGUCGUGUAGUUAUGAUGCGUAGAAACAAUCGCGUUCCAAGUUCCGUUAGCAUCUAUUGCAUCGCAACAAGCUGAAUCUCGCUAAUUCUCGUGCGUGUUUUUUGCAUCUUAUUUACGUUUGAGUGUGUGUGUGUGUGUGUGUGUGUGUGUGUGUGUGUGUGUGUGUGUGUGUGUGUGUCAGGCCGAUAUUACAUUUAUCGUAUGGUUUGAGAAGAGCAGCAAAACGUAAAGAGAAUUUCAGCUGAAAGACGAUAUCGGUGGAGCAAUCCAAGGGGGUGAGUGUAUUAUUUGAAUUAACGUAUCUCUUUAUCUGUUUCCUGCGAUCGUACUUUCACAGUUCAAUAAAAAUAAUAAAAACAAUAAAAAUAAUAAAAAUUUAUAUAUUUACCUUUGAUAAAAUUUAUAAAAUAUAAUAUACAGUAUUUAUAUGUGAAUCAAAAGAGUCAUGAGAGUAUUGUUCGUUUUGUUUCUUCUCGGUCUACUAGGUUCAUCUAGUUCACUUCCUGUUUUACGAUUUGCUUUCAGAGUGCCUCUAUCUCAACUCAAAGAUAGGUCUGCUUGGGUCUGUUCCGAGUAGAUUCAGAACAUACUUGUACUAAACGAACAAUGCUAUAUAAUAUCACAAAUUAACUUGAUUGUUAAUUUAAUAAUAAUGCUACAAGCACCUUAAAAAAUUGUAAAUAGGUAUUGCGAAAAUUCUGUUUAACUGUAAAUAAUUAUUACGCAAAUUCUUUAUAUUUAUGCAAUAAUUCAUUUUUAUUAUAUUAGGUGCGCAACUAAGUUCUCGCUGUUUUUUUUUUUUUUAUGAAAAUGCAACUUUAUUGUGAAAAAAUGAUUACAAAUGAAUCAUUCAAAGUAUUGCCCAUCGCUAGCUACAACUUUUGCCCAUCUUUUUGGCAGAGCUCGAAUACCAUUACGAUAAAAGUGUUCGUCUUUUGAGGCUAUCCACGAAUCAAGCUAUUUUUUGAUGUCUUCAUGUGAGCGGAACUGCUGAUCAGCCAGACCAUGUGCCAUCGAACGGAACAAAAUCAACAGGAAAGGACAUACAGCAGCAGCAGCAGCAGCAGCAGCAGCAGCAGCAGCAGCGAUAACAACUGAGUCAAAGUUCCAGUUUCUCGCCGGGUGUGCGUGGUCAAGGAACAGAGAGAGAGAGAGAGAGAGAGAAAGAAAGAAAGAGGACUGGCUCGUCGUCAUGACGACGUGACGCAACGAUCGCGUCAUCAUCGAGGGAUAGAACGGAUAGAACGAAAGGUCGACGAACCUCCAGCAUUGAAGCAGCAUUCGUUCCGACCAGACGCAGCGACUCUGCUUGACUGGCGGUGGUGGUUGGUUGACUGGACACAGAUGGGGUGAAUGGGGGGAUGCGAUGCGAUGCGAUGCGAUGCGGCACGGUAGCGGCGGAUUUGCCUCUCUCUCUCUCUCUCGCACUCCCUCCUUCUCUCCCUCCAUUGUUCUCGAUACCAUCGAUUUGACUUGAGCUCGAUGUCCUUGCUAUGACGUCGACGAAACGUAUGCAUCAUUCAAUACGUGCAUCAACGACUGCAACAUUAAAUCUUGUUUAAUGUGUUAUUAUUAGAUCCGAGCAAAUUUUUUGAUCGAGUAAAUAAUAAGCAAUUGCAAAUUUAUCUAUUUGGACGAAGAUGUAAAUACAAAGUACAGUGUCAAAGAAAACACACACACACACACAUACACACACACACACACGCACACGCACGCACACACAC
Long non-coding RNA from Solenopsis invicta (red fire ant), 2686 nucleotides. RefSeq lists it as uncharacterized. The transcript is spliced from 3 exons. Lineage: Eukaryota; Metazoa; Arthropoda; Insecta; Hymenoptera; Formicidae. The record is from RefSeq and is a predicted model, not a curated record.